Molecule: non-coding RNA, 198 nt
Filed under: unclassified sequences
Description: IS605-orfB-I RNA
Rfam family: IS605-orfB-I RNA
Source: Rfam by way of RNAcentral
UCUGGAUAAACUUGUAUUCUCCCAAGAGAGAGGAACAAGUCACUUUACGGAAUUAAAUAAGCAACACAUUUAAGGAUUGCCAAAGACUUACAUAUAAGCGAAAUCCUUGAAUGACUAGGAUAACCGUAUGUCCUUUGACAUAUUAUGUCAUAAAAGUAAUCUUGAACAGCUUUGAUUAAGUUUUCAAGUUACGAUUGA